AGUGAACGCUGGCGGCAGGCCUAACACAUGCAAGUCGAACGGCAGCACAGGAAGAGCUCGCUCUUACUGGUGGCGAGGGGCGGACGGGUGACGCAUGCAUCGCCUACCUCUUUUACGGGGGUGAUAACGUGGGAAAACUUCUGAUAAUACCGCAUAUUUCGUACGGGUUAGAGCAGAAGAUCUACGGACCUUUCGUGAUUGUAAGAGCCGAUUCCGGGCUGGAUAAGUUAGUUGGUAAGGUAACAGCUUACCAAGGCUCCGAUGCAUAGCCGAGCUGAGAGGGUGAUCAGCCACACUGGAACUGAGACACGGUCCAGACUCCUACGGGAGGCAGCAGUAGGGAAUCUUCCGCAAUGGGCGAAAGCCUGAUACAGCAAUACCGCGUGAGUGAUGAAGGACUUCGGGUCGUAAAGCCCUGUUGUUAGGAAAGAACAUAAGCAGAUUUAACCGCGGACAUACUGACGGUACCUAAAGAAUAAGCCCCGGCUAACUUCGUG
This 497-nucleotide ribosomal RNA is filed under the name uncultured bacterium. RNAcentral's name for it is "partial 16S ribosomal RNA". It matches the Rfam family "Bacterial small subunit ribosomal RNA", at positions 29 to 507 of the family's 1533-position model. The record is from RNAcentral.